GGGAGGUGGGCAACUACCCCCCAGGGCCGGAAAGCUCUCCAAACUCGGUCAUUUAGAGGAAGUAAAAGUCGUAACAAGGUCUCCGUUGGUGAACCAGCGGAGGGAUCAUUACCGAGUUUUCAACUCCCUAACCCUUCUGUGAACCUACCUAUCGUUGCUUCGGCGGACUCGCCCCAGCCCGGACGCGGACUGGACCAGCGGCCCGCCGGGGACCUCAAACUCUUGUAUUCCAGCAUCUUCUGAAUACGCCGCAAGGCAAAACAAAUGAAUCAAAACUUUCAACAACGGAUCUCUUGGCUCUGGCAUCGAUGAAGAACGCAGCGAAAUGCGAUAAGUAAUGUGAAUUGCAGAAUCCAGUGAAUCAUCGAAUCUUUGAACGCACAUUGCGCCCGCCAGCAUUCUGGCGGGCAUGCCUGUUCGAGCGUCAUUUCAACCCUCGACCUCCCCUGGGGGAGGUCGGCGUUGGGGACCGGCAGCACACCGCCGGCCCUGAAAUGGAGUGGCGGCCCGUCCGCGGCGACCUCUGCGUAGUAAUACAGCUCGCACCGGAACCCCGACGCGGCCACGCCGUAAAACACCCAACUUCUGAACGUUGACCUCGAAUCAGGUAGGACUACCCGCUGAACUUAAGCAUAUCAAUAAGCGGAGGAAAAGAAACCAACAGGGAUUGCCCCAGUAACGGCGAGUGAAGCGGCAACAGCUCAAAUUUGAAAUCUGGCUCUCAGGGCCCGAGUUGUAAUUUGUAGAGGAUGCUUUUGGCGAGGUGCCUUCCGAGUUCCCUGGAACGGGACGCCACAGAGGGUGAGAGCCCCGUAUGGUCGGACACCGAGCCUCUGUAAAGCUCCUUCGACGAGUCGAGUAGUUUGGGAAUGCUGCUCAAAAUGGGAGGUAUAUGUCUUCUAAAGCUAAAUAUUGGCCAGAGACCGAUAGCGCACAAGUAGAGUGAUCGAAAGAUGAAAAGCACUUUGAAAAGAGGGUUAAAAAGUACGUGAAAUUGUUGAAAGGGAAGCGCCUAUGACCAGACUUGCGCCCGGUGAAUCACCCAGCGUUCUCGCUGGUGCACUUUGCCGGGCA
RNAcentral lists this ribosomal RNA (1074 nucleotides) under Beauveria bassiana. Its description in RNAcentral is "eukaryotic LSU rRNA". The stretch from base 594 to 1074 matches the Rfam family "Eukaryotic large subunit ribosomal RNA", at positions 1 to 493 of the family's 3401-position model. Lineage: Eukaryota; Fungi; Ascomycota; Sordariomycetes; Hypocreales; Cordycipitaceae. The record is from RNAcentral.